Long non-coding RNA from Xiphias gladius (swordfish), 516 nucleotides. RefSeq lists it as uncharacterized. The transcript is spliced from 3 exons. The record is from RefSeq and is a predicted model, not a curated record. Lineage: Eukaryota; Metazoa; Chordata; Actinopteri; Istiophoriformes; Xiphiidae.
CAUCCACUGUGACACCAGGUGCAAGACUUUUCGUUUCCUCUCCAGUGCCUCCUUCCUGUCCUCUUUCCCUCUGCAUCGCUUUGUGCAAUAGGUGGGACUCAGUUAAGGCUUCAGCACAGAUGGAGAGCGGGACUUAUCCAAUGCAGUAUACGAUGAAGAAUGAAUAGAGCCAGUGUGUGUGCGAUGUUGAUUUAAGUACAAGUGGAAAGAGAGACUGUUGGAUGAACACAGUUAGCGGGGGGAAAUGCAGAAUGGAUUCAUUGAUCCAACUUGUCAGGCUACUGUGAAAUCAAUCAACCUGUCAAUCAACCUGCCAAUGCCUGUAGCAUUUCAGUCUCUGGCUCUUUGACCCUGGGAUAUCACUCAGCAUCAUGCUCUAGUCCCAAUGGAGGCUUAACUUCAAUACACUCAUUGCAAGGUGGACUAAUGGUGAAUGAUUCAUCAGCAACACACUGCCUACUGAGCCCCCAGGAAAUUAGCUGAAAGAUAAAGUACAGAUGGGUUUAUUGUGAAGAC